RNAcentral lists this ribosomal RNA (253 nucleotides) under uncultured bacterium. RNAcentral's name for it is "partial 16S ribosomal RNA". It matches the Rfam family "Bacterial small subunit ribosomal RNA", at positions 524 to 776 of the family's 1533-position model. The record is from RNAcentral.
UACGUAGGGGGCAAGCGUUGUCCGGAUUUAUUGGGCGUAAAGAGCGUGUAGGCGGCCAUGUAGGUCCGGUGUGAAAACUCGAGGCUUAACCUCGAGAUGUCAUCGGAAACCAUUUGGCUAGAGUCCGGAAGAGGAGAGUGGAAUUCCUGGUGUAGCGGUGAAAUGCGCAGAUAUCAGGAAGAACACCAAUGGCGAAAGCAGCUCUCUGGGACGGUACUGACGCUGAGACGCGAAAGCGUGGGGAGCGAACAGG